AGUAACGGCGAGUGAAGCGGCAACAGCUCAAAUUUGAAAUCUGGCCCCCAGGGCCCGAGUUGUAAUUUGCAGAGGAUGCUUUUGGCGCGGUGCCUUCCGAGUUCCCUGGAACGGGACGCCAUAGAGGGUGAGAGCCCCGUCUGGUCGGACACCAAGCCAGUGUAAAGCUCCUUCGACGAGUCGAGUAGUUUGGGAAUGCUGCUCUAAAUGGGAGGUAUAUGUCUUCUAAAGCUAAAUACCGGCCAGAGACCGAUAGCGCACAAGUAGAGUGAUCGAAAGAUGAAAAGCACUUUGAAAAGAGGGUUAAACAGUACGUGAAAUUGUUGAAAGGGAAGCGUUUAUGACCAGACUUGGGCCCGGUGAAUCAUCCAGCGUUCUCGCUGGUGCACUUUGCCGGGCUCAGGCCAGCAUCAGUUCGUCGCGGGGGAUAAAAGCUUCGGGAACGUGGCUCCCUCGGGAGUGUUAUAGCCCGUUGCACAAUACCCUGCGGUGGACUGAGGUUCGCGCUCCGCAAGGAUGCUGGCGUAAUGGUCAUCAGCGACCCGUCUUGAAACACGGACCAAGGAGUCGUCUUCGUAUGCGAGUGUUCGGGUGUCAAACCCCUACGCGUAAUGAAAGUGAACGCAGGUGAGAGCUUCGGCGCAUCAUCGACCGAUCCUGAUGUUCUCGGAUGGAUUUGAGUAAGAGCAUACGGGGCCGGACCCGAAAGAAGGUGAACUAUGCCUGUAUAGGGUGAAGCCAGAGGAAACUCUGGUGGAGGCUCGCAGCGGUUCUGACGUGCAAAUCGAUCGUCAAAUAUGGGCAUGGGG
This 809-nucleotide ribosomal RNA is filed under the name Tolypocladium endophyticum. RNAcentral describes it as "eukaryotic LSU rRNA". It matches the Rfam family "Eukaryotic large subunit ribosomal RNA", at positions 82 to 922 of the family's 3401-position model. The record is from RNAcentral. Lineage: Eukaryota; Fungi; Ascomycota; Sordariomycetes; Hypocreales; Ophiocordycipitaceae.